Molecule: ribosomal RNA, 506 nt
Filed under: uncultured bacterium
Lineage: Bacteria
Description: partial 16S ribosomal RNA
Rfam family: Bacterial small subunit ribosomal RNA
Source: RNAcentral
AUUGAACGCUGGCGGCAGGCCUAACACAUGCAAGUCGAACGGUAACAGGAAACAGCUUGCUGUUUCGCUGACGAGUGGCGGACGGGUGAGUAAUGUCUGGGAAACUGCCUGAUGGAGGGGGAUAACUACUGGAAACAGUAGCUAAUACCGCAUAACGUCGCAAGACCAAAGAGGGGGACCUUCGGGCCUCUUGCCAUCGGAUGUGCCCAGAUGGGAUUAGCUAGUAGGUGGGGUAACGGCUCACUUAGGCGACGAUCCCUAGCUGGUCUGAGAGGAUGACCAGCCAAACUGGAACUGAGAAACGGUCCAGACUACUACGGGAGGCAGCAGUGGGGAAUAUUGCACAAUGGGCGCAAGCCUGAUGCAGCCAUGCCGCGUGUAUGAAGAAGGCCUUCGGGUUGUAAAGUACUUUCAGCGGGGAGGAAGGGAGUAAAGUCAAUACCUUUGCUCAUUGACGUUACCCGCAGAAGAAGCACCGGCUAACUCCGUGCCAGCAGCCGCGGUAA